UACGUAGGGUGCAAGCGUUAAUCGGAAUUACUGGGCGUAAAGCGUGCGCAGGCGGUUAUAUAAGACAGAUGUGAAAUCCCCGGGCUCAACCUGGGAACUGCAUUUGUGACUGUAUAGCUAGAGUACGACAGAGGGGGAUGGAAUUCCGCGUGUAGCAGUGAAAUGCGUAGAUAUGCGGAGGAACACCGAUGGCGAAGGCAAUCCCCUGGGCCUGUACUGACGCUCAUGCACGAAAGCGUGGGGAGCAAACAGG
This 253-nucleotide ribosomal RNA is filed under the name uncultured bacterium. RNAcentral describes it as "partial 16S ribosomal RNA". It matches the Rfam family "Bacterial small subunit ribosomal RNA", at positions 524 to 776 of the family's 1533-position model. The record is from RNAcentral.